RNAcentral lists this ribosomal RNA (433 nucleotides) under uncultured bacterium. RNAcentral describes it as "partial 16S ribosomal RNA". It matches the Rfam family "Bacterial small subunit ribosomal RNA", at positions 29 to 507 of the family's 1533-position model. The record is from RNAcentral.
AGCGAACGCUGGCGGCAGGCCUAACACAUGCAAGUCGAACGAACUCUUCGGAGUUAGUGGCGGACGGGUGAGUGACACGUGGGAACGUGCCUUUAGGUUCGGAAUAACUCAGGGAAACUUGUGCUAAUACCGAAUGUGCCCUUCGGGGGAAAGAUUUAUCGCCUUUAGAGCGGCCCGCGUCUGAUUAGCUAGUUGGUGAGGUAAAGGCUCACCAAGGCGACGAUCAGUAGCUGGUCUGAGAGGAUGAUCAGCCACAUUGGGACUGAGACACGGCCCAAACUCCUACGGGAGGCAGCAGUGGGGAAUCUUGCGCAAUGGGCGAAAGCCUGACGCAGCCAUGCCGCGUGAAUGAUGAAGGUCUUAGGAUUGUAAAAUUCUUUCACCGGGGACGAUAAUGACGGUACCCGGAGAAGAAGCCCCGGCUAACUUCGUG